This 496-nucleotide ribosomal RNA is filed under the name uncultured bacterium. RNAcentral's name for it is "partial 16S ribosomal RNA". It matches the Rfam family "Bacterial small subunit ribosomal RNA", at positions 29 to 507 of the family's 1533-position model. The record is from RNAcentral.
AUGAACGCUGGCGGCGUGCCUAAUACCUGCAAGUCGAGCGAACAGACGAGGAGCUUGCUCCUCUGACGUUAGCGGCGGCCGGGUGAGUAACACGUGGAUAACCUACCUAUAAGACUGGGAUAACUUCGGGAAACCGGAGCUAAUACCGGAUAAUAUAUUGAACCGCAUGGUUCAAUAGUGAAAGACGGUUUUGCUGUCACUUAUAGAUGGAUCCGCGCCGCAUUAGCUAGUUGGUAAGGUAACGGCUUACCAAGGCGACGAUGCGUAGCCGACCUGAGAGGGUGAUCGGCCACACUGGAACUGAGACACGGUCCAGACUCCUACGGGAGGCAGCAGUAGGGAAUCUUCCGCAAUGGGCGGAAGCCUGACGGAGCAACGCCGCGUGAGUGAUGAAGGUCUUCGGAUCGUAAAACUCUGUUAUUAGGGAAGAACAAAUGUGUAAGUAACUAUGCACGUCUUGACGGUACCUAAUCAGAAAGCCACGGCUAACUACGUG